RNAcentral lists this ribosomal RNA (461 nucleotides) under uncultured ammonia-oxidizing beta proteobacterium. Its description in RNAcentral is "bacterial SSU rRNA". It matches the Rfam family "Bacterial small subunit ribosomal RNA", at positions 194 to 646 of the family's 1533-position model. Lineage: Bacteria; Pseudomonadati; Pseudomonadota; Betaproteobacteria. The record is from RNAcentral.
AAGUAGGGGAUCGCAAGACCUUGCGCUUUUGGAGCGGCCGAUGCCUGAUUAGCUAGUUGGUGGGGUAAGGGCCUACCAAGGCGACGAUCAGUAGUUGGUCUGAGAGGACGACCAGCCACACUGGGACUGAGACACGGCCCAGACUCCUACGGGAGGCAGCAGUGGGGAAUUUUGGACAAUGGGCGAAAGCCUGAUCCAGCAAUGCCGCGUGAGUGAAGAAGGCCUUCGGGUUGUAAAGCUCUUUCAGUCGAGAAGAAAAGGUCGCGACUAAUAAUCGCGACUCAUGACGGUAUCGACAGAAGAAGCACCGGCUAACUACGUGCCAGCAGCCGCGGUAAUACGUAGGGUGCGAGCGUUAAUCGGAAUUACUGGGCGUAAAGGGUGCGCAGGCGGCUUUGUAAGUCAGAUGUGAAAUCCCCGGGCUUAACCUGGGAAUUGCGUUUGAAACUACAAAGCUUAGA